CCUGGGCCUCGGCGGCGACGAGCGCCGCGCGAAAUUCCUCGCCCGGCUGUUGGGUCAAGGGCGAGGCCGCGCACCGCCACAGCCGACGCGCCCACGCAAGGGCCUCGCUAUAUGGGUCAGCGGCAUUGGCAAAGGCGUCGGGCCAGCGCGCGAUGAGCGUGGCAGUGAUGGUAUCAGCGUCGGCCGGCACAAAGCGCGCGGCGCGCACGUCGGGGUCGCCGGGUCCGCUCACGGUGCGUCCGGCGGCAUCGACAAACUCAAAGUGUCCGAGGAUUUCGCCCACGCGGCGCAAGAACGUCGCCCGCGACCAGAGACUCUGGCGCUCGGCAGCCGACAGCGUGGCCGUGAUGGCGCCACUGAGGCCCAAGGCGCCAUAGAGGGCGUCGCAGUCUGUUUGCGUAGGCGCGGGAACACUGCCGUCGGCCGCGAGGACCCACGCCGGUAUGGCGUCGGCGCGGGACAUGUAGUCGACGAGCGCGUCGGCGACGAUGCGCGCGAUCGUGGGCUCUUCGGGUUGUGCCGGACGCGCCGGCGAUCGCGGCACGCCCGACAGCAGCGGCCGACGAUACAAGGGUGAGCGACGCAUCUGUGUGUAUCGUGUGCGUAUCGUGGAUGGGGCCGCGGACAAGGGCAGAGCCUAGAGAUGGCCCGCGUGUUGUUAUUGUUGGUGCGGUGGUCUUUUUUCUUUUUUUUCCAAAAAAAAAGAAAUCUCUAUGAGACAC
This 722-nucleotide long non-coding RNA is filed under the name Pandoravirus quercus. RNAcentral's name for it is "hypothetical ncRNA". The record is from RNAcentral.